Molecule: ribosomal RNA, 476 nt
Filed under: uncultured bacterium
Lineage: Bacteria
Description: bacterial SSU rRNA
Rfam family: Bacterial small subunit ribosomal RNA
Source: RNAcentral
AUGCAAGUCGACGCGAAAGUCACUUCGGUGGCGAGUAGAGUGGCGGACGGGUGAGUAACGCGUGGGAAUCUACCUUGUAGUGGGGGACAACCCGAGGAAACUCGGGCUAAUACCGCAUACGUCCUACGGGAGAAAGGGGGCCUCUGAUUCAAGCUCCCGCUACAAGACGAGCCCGCGUCGGAUUAGCUAGUUGGUAGGGUAAAAGCCUACCAAGGCAACGAUCCGUAGCUGGUCUGAGAGGAUGAUCAGCCACACUGGGACUGAGACACGGCCCAGACUCCUACGGGAGGCAGCAGUGGGGAAUAUUGGACAAUGGGCGCAAGCCUGAUCCAGCAAUGCCGCGUGUGUGAAGAAGGCCUGCGGGUUGUAAAGCACUUUCAGUCGGGAAGAAAAGCCUGAGGCCAAUACCCUCGGGACUUGACGUUACCGACACAAGAAGCACCGGCUAACUCCGUGCCAGCAGCCGCGGUAAUACG